This 253-nucleotide ribosomal RNA is filed under the name uncultured bacterium. RNAcentral's name for it is "partial 16S ribosomal RNA". It matches the Rfam family "Bacterial small subunit ribosomal RNA", at positions 524 to 776 of the family's 1533-position model. The record is from RNAcentral.
UACGAAGGGGGCUAGCGUUGCUCGGAAUUACUGGGCGUAAAGCGCACGUAGGCGGCUUCUUAAGUCGGUGGUGAAAUCCUGGAGCUCAACUCCAGAACUGCCUUCGAUACUGGGAAGCUCGAGUCCGGGAGAGGUGAGUGGAACUGCGAGCGUAGAGGUGAAAUUCGUAGAUAUUCGCAAGAACACCAGUGGCGAAGGCGGCUCACUGGCCCGGUACUGACGCUGAGGUGCGAAAGCGUGGGGAGCAAACAGG